GACCUGUCUUGGGUCAACAAUGACCUGCUUUGGGUCAACGAUGACCUGUCUUGGGUCAACAAUGACCUGCUUUGGGUCAACAAUGACCUGUCUUGGGUCAACAAUGACCUGCUUUGGGUCAACGAUGACCUGUCUUGGGUCAACAAUGACCUGCUUUGGGUCAACAAUGACCUGUUUGGGUCAACGAUGACCUGUCUUGGGUCAACAAUGACCCAUCCUGGGUCAACAAUGACCUGUCUUGGGUCAACGAUGACCUGCUUUGGGUCAACGACGAGCCAGGUUGUCCCCACGAGGCCGUUUCCAGUGACAAUGGCGACGUCCCCUGGGUCAACGAUGACUUGUCCUGGGUCAACAAUGGCCUGUCGUGGGUCAACAAUGACCUGCUUUGGGUCAACGGUGACGUGUCCUGGGUCAACAAUGACCUGCUUUGGGUCAACGGUGACGUGUCCUGGGUCAACAAUGACCUGCUUUGGGUCAACGUUGACGUGUCCUGGGUCAACAAUGACCUGCUUUGGGUCAACGAUGACGUGUUGUGGGUCAACAGUGGCGUGUCUUGGCUCAACGCUGACCGUUCCUGUCCCCACGGCGCCAUCUCCAGUCCCAAGGGGGACGCCCCCUGUCCCCCGGGUGCCGCCUGCCUGCUCGGCGGCGACUCUUGGCUCAACAUGGUCCCUCUUUGCCCCCACGGCGCCAUCUCCAGCGCCAAAGGCGAUGCCCCCCGUGCCGGCGCCGGCUUGGUUUGUGCCCACGGGACCAUCUCCAGUGACAAAGGGGGCGUCCCUUGAGUCAAUGAUGACGGGUCUUGGGUCAACAAUGGCCUGUCCUGGGCCAACAAUGACCUGUCCUGGGUCAACAUUGACCUGUCCUGGGUCAACAUUGACCUGUCCUGGGUCAACAUUGACCUGUCUUGGGUCAACAAUGACCCGUCUUGGGUCAACAAUGACUUGUCCUGGGUCAACAUUGACCUGCUCUGUCCCCACGGCGCCAUCUCCAGUUCCAAAGGCGACGCCCUUCGUGCCAACGGCGCCUCUCGACCCAACAUUGACCCACCUUGGCCCAACAUUGACCCACCUUGGCCCAACAUUGACCCACCUUGACCCAAAAUUGUCUCUUGACCCAACAUUGACCUAUUUUGACCCAACGUUGACCCACCUUGACCCAAAAUUGUCUCUUGACCCAAAAUUAUCCCCUCUUGACCCAAAAUUGACCCACCCUGAUCCAAAAUUGUCUCUUGACCCAACAUCGCCCCACCUUGACCAAACAUUGACCCACCUUGACCCAAAAUUGUCCCCUCUUGACCCAAAACUGUCCCUUGACCCAACGUCGACCCCUCUUGACCCA
This 1341-nucleotide long non-coding RNA is filed under the name Manacus vitellinus (golden-collared manakin). RNAcentral's name for it is "lncRNA (ENSMVIG00005016646.1)". The record is from RNAcentral. Lineage: Eukaryota; Metazoa; Chordata; Aves; Passeriformes; Pipridae.